RNAcentral lists this ribosomal RNA (443 nucleotides) under uncultured bacterium. RNAcentral's name for it is "partial 16S ribosomal RNA". It matches the Rfam family "Bacterial small subunit ribosomal RNA", at positions 338 to 795 of the family's 1533-position model. The record is from RNAcentral.
CCUACGGGUGGCAGCAGUGGGGAAUAUUGGACAAUGGGGGGAACCCUGAUCCAGCGACGCCGCGUGAGUGAAGAAGUAUUUCGGUUUGUAAAGCUCUAUCAGCAGGGAAGAAAGAAAUGACGGUACCUGACUAAGAAGCCCCGGCUAACUACGUGCCAGCAGCCGCGGUAAUACGUAGGGGGCAAGCGUUAUCCGGAUUUACUGGGAGUAAAGGGAGCGUAGACGGCGAUGCAAGUCUGAAGUGAAAGGCGGGGGCCCAACCCCCGGACUGCUUUGGAAACUGUAUGGCUGGAGUGGAGGAGAGGUAAGUGGAAUUCCUGGUGUAGCGGUGAAAUGCGUAGAGAUUAGGAGGAACACCAGUGGCGAAGGCGACUUACUGGACUGUAACUGACGUUGAGGCUCGAAAGCGUGGGGAGCAAACAGGAUUAGAUACCCCGGUAGUC